GAUGAACGCUGGCGGCGUGCCUAAUACAUGCAAGUCGAGCGGACAGACGCGGAGCUUGCGCCUCUGACGUUAGCGGCGGGCGGGUGAGUCACACGUGGAUACCCUCCCUAUAUGACUGGGAUAACUUCGGGAAACGGGCUCUAAUACCGUAUAAUCUCUUGCACCGCAUGGUGCGAUGGUGAAAGUCGGUUUUUCUGUCACUUAUCGAUGGUUCCGCGCUGCAUUAGCUAGUUGUUAAGGUCACGGCUUAUCAAGGCAAGGAUGCGUGGCCGACCUGAUAGGGUGAUCGGCCACACGGGAACUGGGACACGGUCCAGGGUCCUACGGGAGGCAGCAGUAGGGAAUCGGACGCAAUGGGCGAAAGCCUGACGGAGUAGCGCCGAGUGAGUGAUGAAGGCCUUCGGAGCGUAAAACUCUGUUACGAGGGAAGAACAAAUGUGGAAUGAACUAAGCACUUCGUGACGGUAACUAAUAAGAAAGCCACGGCUAACUACGUG
RNAcentral lists this ribosomal RNA (497 nucleotides) under uncultured bacterium. RNAcentral describes it as "partial 16S ribosomal RNA". It matches the Rfam family "Bacterial small subunit ribosomal RNA", at positions 28 to 507 of the family's 1533-position model. The record is from RNAcentral.